GUGAGUAACACGUGGGUGAUCUGCCCUGCACUUCGGGAUAAGCCUGGGAAACUGGGUCUAAUACCGGAUAUGACCUCCUAUCGCAUGGUGGGUGGUGGAAAGAUUUAUCGGUGCAGGAUGGGCCCGCGGCCUAUCAGCUUGUUGGUGGGGUAAUGGCCUACCAAGGCGACGACGGGUAGCCGACCUGAGAGGGUGACCGGCCACACUGGGACUGAGACACGGCCCAGACUCCUACGGGAGGCAGCAGUGGGGAAUAUUGCACAAUGGGCGAAAGCCUGAUGCAGCGACGCCGCGUGAGGGAUGACGGCCUUCGGGUUGUAAACCUCUUUCAGCAGGGACGAAGCGCAAGUGACGGUACCUGCAGAAGAAGCACCGGCUAACUACGUGCCAGCAGCCGCGGUAAUACGUAGGGUGCAAGCGUUGUCCGGAAUUACUGGGCGUAAAGAGUUCGUAGGCGGUUUGUCGCGUCGUUUGUGAAAACCAGCAGCUCAACUGCUGGCUUGCAGGCGAUACGGGCAG
RNAcentral lists this ribosomal RNA (519 nucleotides) under bacterium. RNAcentral's name for it is "bacterial SSU rRNA". It matches the Rfam family "Bacterial small subunit ribosomal RNA", at positions 106 to 639 of the family's 1533-position model. The record is from RNAcentral.